AAACCAGCACCUCAAGUGGUCAGGAGGAUUAUUGGGCCUAAAGCAUCCGUAGCCUGCUCUGUAAGUUUCCGGUUAAAUCCAUUAGCUCAACUAAUGGCCUGCCGAAAAUACUGUAGAGCUAGGAAGUGGGAGAGGUAGACGGUACUCGGUAGGAAGGGGUAAAAUCCUUUGAUCUAUUGAUGACCACCUGUGGCGAAGGCGGUCUACCAGAACACGUUCGACGGUGAGGGAUGAAAGCUGGGGGAGCAAACCGGAUUAGAAACCCGAGUAGUCC
RNAcentral lists this ribosomal RNA (274 nucleotides) under uncultured bacterium. RNAcentral describes it as "partial 16S ribosomal RNA". It matches the Rfam family "Archaeal small subunit ribosomal RNA", at positions 473 to 747 of the family's 1478-position model. The record is from RNAcentral.